Molecule: long non-coding RNA, 563 nt
Organism: Diceros bicornis minor
Lineage: Eukaryota; Metazoa; Chordata; Mammalia; Perissodactyla; Rhinocerotidae
Exons: 3
Source: RefSeq, a predicted model, not a curated record
CUGAGGAAUUCAGUAUGUGGUGGUUUCUCCAUGCACUCUGAAGGCUCACAGAAUGAUGAGAAGAAGUGACACUGGCUGUUCUGGAGUCUCAGAAACUACAGGAUCAGUCGGAGGCCCCUAGGAUUCCAAAUAAUACAAUGGUUAAUACCAAACUACUGUCCCGAUCUGUGGAUUCCAAUGCUAUUCUGCCACAAUGUGAUGGCAUGUUGAAUCGGGAGUAUGAAGUCAAGCACACCUCAGCAUAUCUUUCUUCUGGAUUGAGGCCAGUGCCCGAGGAAUUUAAGUGAGGCUUCACUGCCUGGGGAAGGGUUUGAAGUAUUACCCACGUGGCCCUAGAGAAACAGGAUCAGAAGUGAAUCCCUUUCCUCAGGCCACAGGGUAAAGACGUGGCAGAGCUCCAGCUGGAGGCUAGAAAAGCAGGACCCAAACCUGUGCUCUGAACACGAUGAAGAGGAGAUGUCACCCCAGAUGCAGUCCCUGCCCCAUGUCCUUCCGGGCAGGAAACGUCUUCCCCAUGGUAAAUCUGAGACCACAGCAGUAUGCAGCCACUACUGCCUCGUGGU